UAGUCCAAACCGUAAAUGAUGCUCGCUAGGUGUAUUUCCUUCGGGAGGUGUGCUGUAAGCUAACGCGUUAAGCGAGUCGCCUGAGUAGUAUAGUCGCAAGACCGAAACUCAAAGGGAUAGGCGGGGGAACACACAAGCAGAGGAUUGCCUCGAUUAAUUGGAUAAUACGCCAAGAAUCUUACCUAGGCUUGACAUCCUGAGAAUCUCUUAGAAAUAAGAGAGUGCCUUCGGGAGCUCAGUGACAGAUGCUACAUGGCCGUCGUCAGCUCGUGCCCGCAAGGUGUCCCGGUUAAAGUCCCGGAAAACGNGCGCAACCCUCAUCGCUAGUUAGAAUGUCUAGCGAGACUGCCCUGGUAACGAGGAGGAAGGAGAGGAUGACGUCAGGUCACUAUGGGCUCUUACGCCUAGGGGCGUCAGAGACAAUACAAUGGGGUGUGCAGUAGGUAGCGAAACCGCGAGGUGGAGCCAAU
RNAcentral lists this ribosomal RNA (470 nucleotides) under uncultured bacterium. Its description in RNAcentral is "bacterial SSU rRNA". It matches the Rfam family "Bacterial small subunit ribosomal RNA", at positions 791 to 1272 of the family's 1533-position model. The record is from RNAcentral.